Molecule: ribosomal RNA, 331 nt
Filed under: uncultured bacterium
Lineage: Bacteria
Description: partial 16S ribosomal RNA
Rfam family: Bacterial small subunit ribosomal RNA
Source: RNAcentral
UGGGGAAUAUUGCACAAUGGGCGAAAGCCUGAUGCAGCAACGCCGCGUGAGUGAUGAAGGUCUUCGGAUUGUAAAGCUCUGUCUUUUGGGACGAUAAUGACGGUACCAAAGGAGGAAGCCACGGCUAACUACGUGCCAGCAGCCGCGGUAAUACGUAGGUGGCGAGCGUUGUCCGGAUUUACUGGGCGUAAAGGGUGCGUAGGCGGAUGUUUAAGUGAGAUGUGAAAUACCCGGGCUUAACUUGGGUGCUGCAUUUCAAACUGGAUAUCUAGAGUGCAGGAGAGGAGAAUGGAAUUCCUAGUGUAGCGGUGAAAUGCGUAGAGAUUAGGAA